This 2688-nucleotide long non-coding RNA is filed under the name Diabrotica virgifera virgifera (western corn rootworm). RNAcentral's name for it is "uncharacterized LOC114326166". The record is from RNAcentral. Lineage: Eukaryota; Metazoa; Arthropoda; Insecta; Coleoptera; Chrysomelidae.
AUUAAAUUAUGGGUGGAAAGUUACCACAAGAUAUUCUAUGAACAUAGUACAAUGUCUUCCUGGAGGGGUAAAAUUUUCCAUUACAAGAUUUUAAGAGAGGCCAUUUAUUGUACUGUUCAAUUUGCGUUCAUUUUCAAAUUUGCCGCGCGAGUAUCUAUGUAGCGUCUCGUGGUCAUUGGUCAUCACAUUUCAUUUUCAUAACAUAACCGAUAACCUAAAAAUUUAGUAAAAAAGUAAAAAUUUUGAUUGGAAAAAAAUGCAUCGAUAAGGGGGUGUGGGAAAUGGAAAUUAGUGGCUUUUUUGCUGUACUGUCUGCUAGUUUUUGCUCUGGGCACUGGCUAGAUCUCUUGUUUAAACAAUUUUAAUCAGCUGAAAGUGGCCUACAAAAAAAAACCAAGAAGGAAAUGUAUAGCCUUGUGUCUAUGAAAGGCAAAAGAGAGAUAUAAAAAGUGUAUUGGCUAGUUGGAAGAAAGUUCACAUUGUCCAUGCAUAAUAAGUUAUUACAUUAUCAACAAAUAUCAAGAAGAUAGCAGGGUCACGAGCAUCAACUUCAUGAGUUCAAGAAUAUCGAGGAAAUCCAGCUCCUCGAUACUACUGGGCAAACUAGAAGAUUGAAGAGGACAAAUCCUUUUGAACUAGUUUGAGUGAUAGGUGAUAGUGAAAAACGGAGCAUAGUGCUUGUGUGCUGUGCCUGUGUAUGUUAGAAUAGUGCACGAUCUUGUUAGAUUAGAUAAGAGACGCUAUGGGGUAAGCUCUUCAUUUUAAGAAACAGUAGUAAUUUAGGUUAAAUUAAAAUUGCUCAUUGGUCAGUUAUGACCAGAUUGUUUUUUUAUGUUUGGCAAAAAGGACUUAAGUCAGAAUUGCACAUUGAUAAUGUUUUGAUGAUUUCUGGACCAGAAAAAAACUGUUGUAGAUGUAAACUGUAUGUACAGUAGAAUCUACUACAGUACUGUAGAAAUCAUCAAAACAUUAUCGAUGUGCAAUUCUGACUUAAGCCCUUUUUCCCAAACAUCAGAGAAUUGUAAUGUACAAUAAUUCUCCUAUCUGCUUUUUCAUGAAUUUUGUAGGAGACGAAAAACCAUUUUUAGGAUCAUCUGCUUUCACAUGUUUUGUAGUAAAUAGAUAGUUGAAUUUACUACAAAACAUGUCAAAAAAUAUAUGAAAACAUGAGGUGACUAUAAAAAAAGUUUUUAGUCUCUCUUACAAAACUCAUGAAAAAACAAAUCGGAGGUAUGUCACAUCAGUGACUAAGAAUGUCUAAAAAAUAUACUUUGAUGUCCCAAGAACCAAAUAUAACCUACAGUCCAUCUAAUUUACUUACUGUUGCACGUCAUUAUCUACGCCAGAGAUCUAAGUUGACAUAGUUGCCAAAGUAUAAAAAGAUCCUGAAUCCAUUUUAAAUCAAAUAUGUCACAUAAUUAUUGUAAACGUGGAUUAUACAACAAAACAAAUUAAUAUUCAAUGUAAAUAAGUAAAAACUUAAGAAAUAGAGAACAAGAAUUAAGUUAUAAUCUUUUAAGAUUUGCAGUGCAAGAGUUUUUGCACUGCAUUGUUAAUAAUUAAAAAACGGCUCCGAACUCUUGGCAAAAAGCCGGUAGGUUUCUUUGUAUAAGUAUGUCUACAAUAACAACUAAAAAAGUUGUCAGAUACCUCGAUUAUUCCAAGUCGUUAUAAAAUUAGGUGAAAUUUAUAUUUUUAUAGUAGAGGAUCUUUUUAUAGUAAAGUAAAUAAUAAAAACAGUAAAUAUAAUAAAUAAAACAGAUACUUAUAGUAAAGAAUAUAAACAAAUAUGAAGUGUCAUCACCGUAACUGUCAAAUAAAUGUUACCAAUUUAUUCUAAAAUGUCACCUUCGUUCGAUUACAGUUACAGUGUGAUCCGAACAAAUCUGCUUCAUAAAAACGCUUUAUAAUCCAUUUAUACAAAUUAAAUGAAACAUAUUAUUGUGUAUUUCUUUAGGUUAACAUUAAUAGAAAUCUUCACAUAUUAUUCGGCAAAGUACUCGGCAAAGUGAUUCUAAAAAAGAACACACCUACCGCCUAAAUAUUUCGUGUUGGUAUCAUGCAACCUCACAGGCUACGACGCGGAUGACGCGCAACAGUUAGUAAAUUAGACGAAGUAUGUAGAUAUAUACAGGGUGUAACAAAAAUACAGGUCAUAAAUUUAAUCACAUAUUCUGGGACCAAAAAUAGUUUGAUUGGACCUAACUUACCUUAGUACAAAUGUGCACACAGGAAAAGUUACAGCCCUUUGAAGUUAUAUAUAUAUAUAUAUAAUAGCACCAAGGGUCUUAGAGGCCCAUGGCUUGAAAAGUUUGUUUUUUUUCUUCAUUUUCACGUUUCUUUAUGUACUGAGAUCUUCUCUGGCUUGAUAUGUGAUUUUUCUCCAUUCCUUCCUGUUAUUCAUUUUUCUUUUCUGACCCUGUAGCACCAUUCUUUCCAAAUCUUUUUCGACCUCUUGCUUCCAUCUAUUUUUCGGCCUUCCUCUUCUCUUUCUUGAAGCUGUAGUGUAGUUUAGUACCAUUUUUGGAGUCCUCGUGUUUGGCAUCCUUUCAAUGUGACCUCGCCAUCUAAGUCUCUGUGCCUUUAUCAUUCAUUUGAAGUUACAAGAUGAAGUGAUUUUUUCCAAUAUAUCGAAAACUAUUAGAGAUUUUUUAUUGAAAAUGGACAUGUGGCAUUAUUAUGGCAGCA